GACUUUAUGGCCCAAUGGAUAAGGCGCUGGUCUACGAAACCAGAGAAUCAGGAUUCGAUCCCCAAUGAAGUCG
This 73-nucleotide transfer RNA is filed under the name Ipomoea nil (Japanese morning glory). It matches the Rfam family "tRNA". Rfam says of the family: Transfer RNA (tRNA) molecules are approximately 80 nucleotides in length. Their secondary structure includes four short double-helical elements and three loops (D, anti-codon, and T loops). Further hydrogen bonds mediate the characteristic L-shaped molecular structure. tRNAs have two regions of fundamental functional importance: the anti-codon, which is responsible for specific mRNA codon recognition, and the 3' end, to which the tRNAs corresponding amino acid is attached (by aminoacyl-tRNA synthetases). tRNAs cope with the degeneracy of the genetic code in two manners: having more than one tRNA (with a specific anti-codon) for a particular amino acid; and 'wobble' base-pairing, i.e. permitting non-standard base-pairing at the 3rd anti-codon position. Lineage: Eukaryota; Viridiplantae; Streptophyta; Magnoliopsida; Solanales; Convolvulaceae. The record is from Rfam by way of RNAcentral.